CCCUUAGAUGUUCUGGGCCGCACGCGCGCUACACUGACGGGACCACCGAGUUUUAACCUUCACCGGUAGGUGCGGGUAAUCUUUUGAACUCCCGUCGUGUUGGGGAUAGAUCUUUGCAAUUUUCGAUCUUAAACGAGGAAUUCCUAGUAAGCGUGAUUCAUCAGAUCGCGUUGAUUACGUCCCUGCCCUUUGUACACACCGCCCGUCGCUACUACCGAUUGAAUGGUUUAGUGAGUCCUCGGGAUCAGUCCUCUGAGCGUGGCAACACGCACGUUGGACAGAGAACUUGGUCAAACUUGAUCAUUUAGAGGAAGUAAAAGUCGUAACA
Molecule: ribosomal RNA, 328 nt
Filed under: uncultured eukaryote
Lineage: Eukaryota
Description: partial 18S ribosomal RNA
Rfam family: Eukaryotic small subunit ribosomal RNA
Source: RNAcentral